AAUGUUAAGAUACACUAUCAACUGUGGGGGGGGGGGGGGUGUGGGAUGCACAGAGAGCAGCUGCUUACAGACACACAGGUCGCUUCGGAAGGUAAAAAUGAACAAAACUCACUGACGGCUCCCAGGAAGAGAACUGGUCGCCCAGGGAAUUGGAGUGAGGAGCCUGCGUCUCAUGGAAUACUCCUCUGCUGUACUUUUUACAAUUUUACGUACUAGUGAACGCAUUACCUAUUGGGGAAACACAAUUUCUUAAACUUUUAAAAACACUACGUGGGUAACAGAACAAAUAUUACCCUGAAGGAAGCAGCAGAAGGCACUUUACAGCUGAGGUGUCAAGUAUUUGCAGAAAACAUCAGAAACUGUCUCUCCCUUCAAUCUAUAUAUUUUAAGAGGAUAAAUGGUUUCAGCUUCUAAGUUCACUAGGAGACUUAAUACUUAAAAAAAGAAGACAACAACAACCUUAUUUCUAUCAUUCCCCUUUCCAGUUUAAACCUGACAGUU
Molecule: long non-coding RNA, 501 nt
Filed under: Bos taurus (domestic cattle)
Lineage: Eukaryota; Metazoa; Chordata; Mammalia; Artiodactyla; Bovidae
Description: long non-coding RNA NONBTAT016742
Source: RNAcentral